CCCAGACUCCUACGGGAGGCAGCAGUGGGGAAUAUUGCACAAUGGGGGAAACCCUGAUGCAGCGACGCCGCGUGAGUGAAGAAGUAUUUCGGUAUGUAAAGCUCUAUCAGCGGGGAAGAAAAUGACGGUACCUGACUAAGAAGCCCCGGCUAACUACGUGCCAGCAGCCGCGGUAAUACGUAGGGGGCAAGCGUUAUCCGGAUUUACUGGGUGUAAAGGGAGCGUAGACGGCAUGGCAAGUCAGAUGUGAAAGCCCGAGGCUCAACCCCGGGACUGCAUUUGAAACUGUCAGGCUGGAGUGCAGGAGAGGUAAGUGGAAUUCCUAGUGUAGCGGUGAAAUGCGUAGAUAUUAGGAGGAACACCAGUGGCGAAGGCGGCUUACUGGACUGUAACUGACGUUGAGGCUCGAAAGCGUGGGGAGCAAACAGGAUUAGAUACCCGGGUAC
RNAcentral lists this ribosomal RNA (446 nucleotides) under uncultured bacterium. RNAcentral's name for it is "bacterial SSU rRNA". It matches the Rfam family "Bacterial small subunit ribosomal RNA", at positions 330 to 793 of the family's 1533-position model. The record is from RNAcentral.